Molecule: long non-coding RNA, 294 nt
Organism: Thalassophryne amazonica
Lineage: Eukaryota; Metazoa; Chordata; Actinopteri; Batrachoidiformes; Batrachoididae
Exons: 3
Source: RefSeq, a predicted model, not a curated record
AAGGAUGAAGUUGCUGCUCCCAAAAAUCUUAAACCCGAGUUUUGCUCAAUAAAUGUGUUUGCUAAUGGGAAGCCCUGGACUCCUCCUGUUCACAUCAUGAUUCCCAAGUACGCACUGAAGUGGAUGGAUGACGUGAUCACCAUGGUGGCAGCGAAAAUGCCAAAACACUUGAAAGUGAACAGGCUUUACACACUUGAUGGCAAACUCAUUGAAGAUCCACAGGAGCUAAAGAGUCAUGAGUUUUACGUUGCUGUCGGCACUGAACAAUUUAUAGUUGCCCCAUAUGGCCAAAUC